GAUGAAGAACGUAGCGAAAUGCGAUAAGUAAUGCGAAUUGCAGAAUUCAGUGAAUCAUCGAAUCUUUGAACGCACAUUGCGCCCGCCAGUAUUCUGGCGGGCAUGCCUGUCUGAGCGUCGUUUCGACCCUCGCGCCCGGCUUCUGUCGGGGGCGGUGUUGGGGAUCGGCCACACCCUUCAGUGGGAGGCCGGCCCCUAAAUUCAGUGGCGACCACGCUGUAGCCUCCCCUACGUAGUACUAAAACCACCUCGCAGGCGGAGAGCGGUGCGGCCCGCCGUAAAACCCCCCAACUUUUACAAGGUCGACCUCAGAUCAGGUAGGAAUACCCGCUGAACUUAAGCAUAUCAAUAAGCGGAGGA
RNAcentral lists this unclassified non-coding RNA (360 nucleotides) under soil metagenome. RNAcentral describes it as "partial contains 5.8S ribosomal RNA, internal transcribed spacer 2, and large subunit ribosomal RNA". The stretch from base 1 to 120 matches the Rfam family "5.8S ribosomal RNA", at positions 35 to 154 of the family's 154-position model. The record is from RNAcentral.